GUAAAUAAUUAAGGGCGUAUGGUGGAUGCCUAGGCUCUCAGAGGCGAAGAAGGACGUGAUAAGCUGCGAAAAGCUCCGUUUAGGUGCAAAUAACCUUUGAUGCGGAGAUCUCCGAAUGGGAUAACCCAAUAUGUUGAAGACAUAUUAUACCGUAAGGUAGGCAAACGCAGGGAACUGAAACAUCUAAGUACCUGCAGGAGAAGAAAACAAAAGUGAUUCCCCCAGUAGCGGCGAGCGACCGGGGAAAAGCCCAAACCGUUAUUGUUUCGGCAUUAACGGGGUAGUAGGACUGCGACAUUGAUGAAAUAAAUGAAAUGGAACACCUUGGAAAAUGUGAUCACAGAGGGUGAUAAUCCCGUACAUGCAAGUUUAUGAAUCAUAGCAGACUCCUGAGUAAGUCGGGACACGUGUAAUCCUGACCGAAUCCGCCGGGACCAUCCGGCAAGGCUAAAUACUCCUGAGAGACCGAUAGUGAACCAGUACCGUGAGGGAAAGGUGAAAAGCACUUCGAACAGAAGAGUGAAAUAGUCCCUGAACCCAUACGCCUACAAGCUGUCGGAGCCGCUUCGUGCGGUGACGGCGUGCCUUUUGCAUAAUGAGCCUACGAGUUACUCAUCACCAGCGAGGUUAAGUACUUCAGGUACGUAAGCCGAAGCGAAAGCGAGUCUGAAUAGGGCGUCAAGUUGGUGGUGGUAGACGCGAAACCUUAGUGAUCUACCCAUGGGCAGGGUGAAGGUUUGGUAACACAAACUGGAGGCCCGAACCGGUAAACGUUGAAAAGUUUUCGGAUGACCUGUGGGUAGGGGUGAAAGGCCAAUCAAACUGGGAAAUAGCUCGUACUCUCCGAAAUGCAUUUAGGUGCAGCCUCUGUUGUUUUGUUCUAGAGGUAGAGCUACUGAUUGGAUGCGAGGGCUUCACCGCCUAUCAAAUCCGGCCAAACUCCGAAUGCUAGAACAUGAAGACAGGGAGUGAGCCAGCGGGUGCUAAGGUCCGUUGACGAAAGAGGGAGAACUCAGACCAUCAGCUAAGGUCCCCAAUUAUAUGCUAAGUUGGAAUUAAAACGGGGUGGGACUGCUUAGACAGCUAGGAUGUUGGCUUGGAAGCAGCCAUUCAUUUAAAGAGUGCGUAACAGCUCACUAGUCGAGCGGUCCUGCAUGGAUAAUACGCGGGCAUAAGCAUAUAACCGAAGCUAUGGGAUUGUAGAUGAUACAAUCGGUAGGAGAGCAUUCCAUUCAGCGUAGAAGCAGUAUCGUGAGGUAUUGUGGAGCGGAUGGAAAAGCAAAUGUAGGCAUAAGUAACGAUAAUGCGGGUGAGAACCCCGCACGCCGAAAGAUCAAGGAUUCCCCGGCAAUGUCAAUCAUCCGGGGGUAAGUCGGAUCCUAAGGGUAAGCCGAGUGGCGAUCCCGAUGGCAAACAGGUUAAUAUUCCUGUACUGAUCAUAACUGCGAUGCAGCGACGCAGAGGUGACACUGCUGCGUACUGACGGAAUAGUACGUUGAAACCCGUAUUCUUUGAUACCGGUAGUGAAGCACGCCGGUAGAGAUGAAAGGUGAUAGUACCGCAAUGCUUCGGUUGCGCGGAUAACGCAGGUAAGCUGACUGCCAAGAAAACCUGCUAAGCUUCAGGUAAUGAUCAUCCGUACUGUAAACGGACACACGUGAUCAGGUAGAAAAUACUAAGGCGCUCGAGAGAUUCAUGGUUAAGGAACUAGGCAAAAUGGUCCUGUAACUUCGGGAUAAAGGACGCUCUUGUGAAAGAGCCGCAGAUAAUAGGCCCAGGCGACUGUUUACCAAAAACACAUGGCUAUGCUAAUUCGCAAGAAGAUGUAUAUGGCCUGACACCUGCCCGGUGCCGGAAGGUUAAGAGGAGAGCUCAGAGGCAACUCGAAGGUUUGAAUUGAAGCCCCGGUAAACGGCGGCCGUAACUAUAACGGUCCUAAGGUAGCGAAAUUCCUUGUCGGGU
This 1962-nucleotide ribosomal RNA is filed under the name human gut metagenome. Its description in RNAcentral is "bacterial LSU rRNA". It matches the Rfam family "Bacterial large subunit ribosomal RNA", at positions 1 to 1977 of the family's 2925-position model. The record is from RNAcentral.